Molecule: ribosomal RNA, 685 nt
Filed under: Debaryomyces fabryi
Lineage: Eukaryota; Fungi; Ascomycota; Pichiomycetes; Serinales; Debaryomycetaceae
Description: eukaryotic LSU rRNA
Rfam family: 5.8S ribosomal RNA (bases 198-351)
Source: RNAcentral
GUAUUCUUUUUGCCAGCGCUUAAUUGCGCGGCGAAAAAACCUUACACACAGUGUUUUUUGUUAUUACAAGAACUUUUGCUUUGGUCUGGACUAGAAAUAGUUUGGGCCAGAGGUUUACUGAACUAAACUUCAAUAUUUAUAUUGAAUUGUUAUUUAUUUAAUUGUCAAUUUGUUGAUUAAAUUCAAAAAAUCUUCAAAACUUUCAACAACGGAUCUCUUGGUUCUCGCAUCGAUGAAGAACGCAGCGAAAUGCGAUAAGUAAUAUGAAUUGCAGAUUUUCGUGAAUCAUCGAAUCUUUGAACGCACAUUGCGCCCUCUGGUAUUCCAGAGGGCAUGCCUGUUUGAGCGUCAUUUCUCUCUCAAACCUUCGGGUUUGGUAUUGAGUGAUACUCUUAGUCGAACUAGGCGUUUGCUUGAAAUGUAUUGGCAUGAGUGGUACUGGAUAGUGCUAUAUGACUUUCAAUGUAUUAGGUUUAUCCAACUCGUUGAAUAGUUUAAUGGUAUAUUUCUCGGUAUUCUAGGCUCGGCCUUACAAUAUAACAAACAAGUUUGACCUCAAAUCAGGUAGGAUUACCCGCUGAACUUUAAGCAUAUCAAUAAGCGGAGGAAAAGAAACCAACAGGGAUUGCCUUAGUAACGGCGAGUGAAGCGGCAAAAGCUCAAAUUUGAAAUCUGGCACCUUCGG